GAACAAAUUCCUCAAGAAAGCCUGAUACCUGGGAGGCACUAAACGAACAUUAGUGACUAGCUGUUGAAUUUAUUCAACACUGAAUGACUACUCUUUGCAGACUCUGUGUUAAGAGAUGCGAGUAAAGUGGUGAAAACAAGCAAGUCUCUCCCCUUGCGGAAAUCACAUGCAUAAUAAAUGCAUAAACCAAUAAAGAUUGUGUUUACAGAUAGUGUCAAAUGCUAUUUAAAAAUAAUGCAGAUUGAUUAAGGUGGGGAGUAUGAGAAGGUGUGAAGCACGCAAGAAUCUCGGGGCAGAGCAGCCCAGGCAGGGAGAAGAGCAGAGGAGGAAGGAGCUCGGCAGGUGACUGACGGCAGGACACGCCUGCAGGAGUCAAGUGGGACAGGAGACAGCGAAGUCCCAGACACAGCAGGGACCUUGAAGGCUUGGUGGGCUAAUCAAAACUUGGGCUGGAUCCGAAUGAGAGUAGAAGUCAUUGGAAAGAAGGAUUUUAGUAGGAAAAUGAUACCAACUGACUUGCGUUUGGAGAUGGCUCCAACUGCAAUGUGGAGACUGGACGGUCCCGGCAGAGCGGAAGCGGAUGACCAGGCCAGAGCGUUAUGGAACGAGAGCGAAGUCAGCGGAGCGGGAGUCUGCGGAAGACAUCUGCCCAGCUGAGGCCUGUAUUUCUCGGCUUCCUCCUGACUCCUUUCUGCCCCUCCCUCUACCACCUCCCCUGGUUCCAAGUUUGGUCACGUGAGCUCUUCUGGCUAAUGGAAUCUGUGCGUGUCGUUUCCCAGGCAGCUUCAAGAAGCCAUUGUGCUGCUAGACACAGACACUUGACUGUCGGCUGGAAAACCCAUCAUAAUGUUGAGUUAUUUAACACCAUGUGAAUCCUAACUUCCAAAUUAUAAGACAGUUUUUCUAUGCUGUUUAGUAGCAUAGUCUGUAUAUUUCCUUUGGACAACAAAAUUAUUGCCCCCCCCGGGGGAUUUAAAUAUUUCUUAGGAGACCUGAUUGUGAUUUAUACCUAUGGACUCUAAGCAGAAAACUGGCAAGAAAAUAUACAAGAGGAUGACAAUACAAUGUAAUGAGAUGGACGUCAGACUGGGGGUUAGGAGCUGCAGCUCCUGGAACCGGUUCCCCCGCGUUGGGAUGAUGAUGACAUAACCAAGCAAAUCAAAAGGAUAAGAACAAAAAUCACUGGAAUUAUUUCAACAUCGAGAUAA
RNAcentral lists this long non-coding RNA (1208 nucleotides) under Equus asinus (donkey). RNAcentral's name for it is "lncRNA (ENSEASG00005031010.1)". The record is from RNAcentral. Lineage: Eukaryota; Metazoa; Chordata; Mammalia; Perissodactyla; Equidae.